This 70-nucleotide transfer RNA is filed under the name Anadara broughtonii. RNAcentral's name for it is "Scapharca broughtonii tRNA-Lys". It matches the Rfam family "tRNA". Rfam says of the family: Transfer RNA (tRNA) molecules are approximately 80 nucleotides in length. The record is from RNAcentral. Lineage: Eukaryota; Metazoa; Mollusca; Bivalvia; Arcoida; Arcidae. RNAcentral also lists the same sequence under 1 other name.
GCGAGGGUAGCUUAAUCAAAGCUUUUGGCUUUUAACCAGGAUGAUGGUAAUACACUUUACCUCCUUGCAC